This 72-nucleotide transfer RNA is filed under the name Candidatus Parcubacteria bacterium. RNAcentral's name for it is "tRNA-Val". It matches the Rfam family "tRNA". From Rfam's summary of the family: Transfer RNA (tRNA) molecules are approximately 80 nucleotides in length. Their secondary structure includes four short double-helical elements and three loops (D, anti-codon, and T loops). Lineage: Bacteria; Candidatus Parcubacteria. The record is from RNAcentral.
GGGCGGGUAGCUCAGUGGUAGAGCGUCUCGCUUACAACGAGAAGGACAGAGGUUCAAUUCCUCUCCCGCCCA